Molecule: ribosomal RNA, 253 nt
Filed under: uncultured bacterium
Lineage: Bacteria
Description: partial 16S ribosomal RNA
Rfam family: Bacterial small subunit ribosomal RNA
Source: RNAcentral
UACGUAGGGGGCAAGCGUUAUCCGGAUUUACUGGGCGUAAAGCGCCCGUAGGCGGCCUGACAAGUUGGACGUGAAAGCUCCUGGCUUAACUGGGAGAGGCCGUUCAAAACUGUCAAGCUAGAGUCUGGAAGAGGAGAGCGGAAUUCCCGGUGUAGUGGUGAAAUGCGUAGAGAUCCGGAGGAACACCAGUGGCGAAGGCGACACGCUGGGCCGUACCUGACACUGAUGAGCGACAGCAUGGGGAGCAAACAGG